CGCACCUUGCGCUCCCUGGUAUUCCGGGGAGCAUGCCUGUUUGAGUGUCAUGGUAUUCUCAACCUUCAUAACUUUUUGUUAUCGAAGGCUUGGACUUGGAGGUUGUGCUGGCUUCUCGUUAAGUCGGCUCCUCUUAAAUGCAUUAGCGUGAGUGUAACUGAUCGCUUCGGUGUGAUAAUUAUCUGCGCCGUAGUCGUGAAGUAACAUAAGCUUGCGCUUCUAGUCGUCCUUCAGCUGGACAAUUACUCUGACAUCUGACCUCAAAUCAGGUAGGACUACCCGCUGAACUUAA
RNAcentral lists this unclassified non-coding RNA (292 nucleotides) under Phanerochaete sp. RNAcentral's name for it is "partial contains 5.8S ribosomal RNA, internal transcribed spacer 2, and large subunit ribosomal RNA". The record is from RNAcentral. Lineage: Eukaryota; Fungi; Basidiomycota; Agaricomycetes; Polyporales; Phanerochaetaceae.